AUUUUGCAUAAAAUGCGCAAGUAUGUAUAUGGUAAUAAGAAAUGAAGUAAAAGUUAAGCUAUUUCGACUAAGUGCGCCAAGGAUUUCUGACCAGGAUUGUAGCUAUAAUGUUUACGUUUGUUGUUAUCGCUACAUAAAUUAGGGUCUAGGUAUCUGUAAUCCUCGUAGGUUUCUGAACUAUAAUUGUAUUACAUUGAAAGAAUUACAGAAGUUUAUCAAAUCGCGACCAUCUGGACAGUUAGAACGACUUAGAACGUCCGCAUUUGAAUUUUUUGGUUUCUAUUGGCUGUACGCGUUUUGCUAUAAUUGUCACUAGCAGUGAUUUUCGACAUUAACGAAUAAAUCUUUGGUUUAUUUAAGCAACCUAUAACUAUAUUGCGUAAACGUUCUGCCACUUGCUUAAUUUCUGUCAUCAAUUGAAAUUAUUCGACCAAUAUCGCCUCUCAUUUUUGUGGCUAGACCAAAAGUAAAAUUUAUCUCGUUUUCAACAUAACAUUUUUUGUCUAUUUCUGUUUAGAAAUACUAUUCACCGCCACUUUGAGGAAAAUCUAUCAUGUUGUUACACAUGUUUCGCAAAAUAAAUCAAAUAUUUCCUCAUAAACUGUCCUAAGGGACCGCUCAUUAUUUAUUGUACAGGGGGGGAUUGAGGAGAAACUGGGGGGCCUUUAAUUUUUUUAAACCUGAAAGGGAGGCUUUGAAAAAAUAAAGAGAGACGAAAGAAGGGGGGCUUUGAAAAGAUUUACUACUGUAGUUUGAAAAAACAUUUGUAAUUUUAAAAAUGUAGACAAAACAACUUAACAACAAAUAACAAUGUUUAUAGGCCUUUAAUAUUAAUAUCAUAAAUGGAAGCCAAAUAAAUAAAAAAAAAUAAAAAAAAUAAAUAGUCUUUUAUGUUCAUGUAAAUAGACAAUUCCCAUUAUAGACUAAUUUUAAACUAGGCAAAGAGAUGCAAAUGAAUCUAGAUAGAGCUUACUAAAAUGAGUAAAAUUGCAAAGUUUGGUUGCGAAAUGUUCUAAAAUAUGGAAAAUAUAGCCUUGCAAACUUUGCAAAUUUGGUAUACUUUUGUAUUGCAUGCGGAAAUUGCUACCGGCCGCACGCAGUACAAAAGUAUACAAAAUUUGCAAACUUUGGAAGGCUAUAUUUUUCACAUUUUACAACAUUUCAUAACCAAAAUUUUCAAUUUUACUAAUUUUAGUAUGCUCUUACCGGGAAUAUAUAUUUUUUGCUAAGAUAAAAAUUAGUCUAUAAUGGGAAUUGUCUAUUAGUCCCCAUUAUCUAUUUUUAUUUCUCUAAAUAAAGAGCUAGAGUCAGGGGGGGCACCAAAAUUAAUGUUCUUGUUUUGCCUGUUGGAGGGGGCUUUGAAAAUUCUACUUGCCUUAAGAGGGGGCAACGAAAAAAAUAUUAUAACUGUAGAGUUUCUCCUCAGUCCCUCCCCUGUACAAUAAAUAAUGAGCUGUCCCUAAGCGAUUGUGGAAUUUGCAGAAAAUUAAGGAUUUUUUAAAGUAUUAUUAAAAAAACCCCUUAAACAGAAUAUCCCUGUUUAUAAUAUUUCGUGUUGUCUUCAGUAUUUAUUAUGUUUAUACCCUAAAGCAUUGUUAACAAAUACAGGAUGUAUAAAAAAUUCUGCAAACCCUUUGAAAUACAAUUUUUUUAGAAUCUGCAUGAUUCAGAACUAAUUGAUCCCAAGCGUGCGUAAACACACAAUAGUUGACCCAUUCGCAGUCGCACUGAUAAUUAGUUUUCUGCAUUACAAAUAACUUUGUGUUAUUCUAAUUUCUAUCAACGCGGUUAAUUAGAAUGUAUUUCUAAAUCCCAGGAG
Non-coding RNA from Paramuricea clavata, 1819 nucleotides. The record is from the annotation of a GenBank genome assembly. NCBI's taxonomy places the organism in Eukaryota, Metazoa, Cnidaria, Anthozoa, Malacalcyonacea, Plexauridae.